UCCUAGAUUUGAAGCAAGGGUCC
This 23-nucleotide non-coding RNA is filed under the name Rattus norvegicus (Norway rat). The record is from RNAcentral. Lineage: Eukaryota; Metazoa; Chordata; Mammalia; Rodentia; Muridae.